GAGCACUUGAUACUAACCGAGCCAUCGGUGUCCCCAGCCUGGGGACACCCUGUGAUCGCUGGGUCUGCAAAGUGCCACAGCAAAACAAGCCAUGCAGUGUUUAAGCUCAGUGUGUGAAGGAACACACUGGGUUAUAACUCAGAGGCACAGAA
RNAcentral lists this small nucleolar RNA (152 nucleotides) under Acanthisitta chloris (rifleman). RNAcentral's name for it is "Small Cajal body specific RNA 1". It matches the Rfam family "Small Cajal body specific RNA 1". From Rfam's summary of the family: scaRNAs are a specific class of small nuclear RNAs which localise to the Cajal bodies and guide the modification of RNA polymerase II transcribed spliceosomal RNAs U1, U2, U4, U5 and U12. ACA35 belong to the H/ACA box class of guide RNAs as it has the predicted hairpin-hinge-hairpin-tail structure, conserved H/ACA-box motifs and is found associated with GAR1. The record is from Rfam by way of RNAcentral. Lineage: Eukaryota; Metazoa; Chordata; Aves; Passeriformes; Acanthisittidae.